UACGAAGGGUGCAAGCGUUAAUCGGAAUUACUGGGCGUAAAGCGCGCGUAGGUGGUUUGUUAAGUCGGAUGUGAAAUCCCCGGGCUCAACCUGGGAACUGCAUCCGAAACUGGCAAGCUAGAGUAUGGUAGAGGGUAGUGGAAUUUCCUGUGUAGCGGUGAAAUGCGUAGAUAUAGGAAGGAACACCAGUGGCGAAGGCGACUACCUGGACUGAUACUGACACUGAGGUGCGAAAGCGUGGGGAGCAAACAGG
This 253-nucleotide ribosomal RNA is filed under the name uncultured bacterium. Its description in RNAcentral is "partial 16S ribosomal RNA". It matches the Rfam family "Bacterial small subunit ribosomal RNA", at positions 524 to 776 of the family's 1533-position model. The record is from RNAcentral.